CAGGAAAAAGUUUUUAAAUAUUAAUUUUGGAGAUUAAAGUUGGGGUAAUUCCCUUUCCUGA
RNAcentral lists this transfer RNA (61 nucleotides) under Brontispa longissima. RNAcentral's name for it is "tRNA-Pro". The record is from RNAcentral. Lineage: Eukaryota; Metazoa; Arthropoda; Insecta; Coleoptera; Chrysomelidae.